UGGGGAUUUUUGGACAAUGGGCGCAAGCCUGAUCCAGCAAUGCCGCGUGCAGGAUGAAGGCCUUCGGGUUGUAAACUGCUUUUGUACGGAACGAAACGGCUCUGGUUAAUACCUGGGGCUAAUGACGGUACCGUAAGAAUAAGCACCGGCUAACUACGUGCCAGCAGCCGCGGUAAUACGUAGGGUGCGAGCGUUAAUCGGAAUUACUGGGCGUAAAGCGUGCGCAGGCGGUGAUGUAAGACAGAUGUGAAAUCCCCGGGCUCAACCUGGGACCUGCAUUUGUGACUGCAUCGCUGGAGUGCGGCAGAGGGGGAUGGAAUUCCGCGUGUAGCAGUGAAAUGCGUAGAUAUGCGGAGGAACACCGAUGGCGAAGGCAGCCUCCUGGGCCAGUACUGACGCUCAUGCACGAAAGCGUGGGGAGCAAACA
This 427-nucleotide ribosomal RNA is filed under the name uncultured bacterium. RNAcentral describes it as "bacterial SSU rRNA". It matches the Rfam family "Bacterial small subunit ribosomal RNA", at positions 355 to 774 of the family's 1533-position model. The record is from RNAcentral.